RNAcentral lists this ribosomal RNA (1380 nucleotides) under metagenome. RNAcentral's name for it is "bacterial SSU rRNA". It matches the Rfam family "Bacterial small subunit ribosomal RNA". The record is from RNAcentral.
AGAGUUUGAUCCUGGCUCAGGAUGAACGCUGGCGGCGUGCUUAACACAUGCAAGUCGAACGAUCCUUCGGGAUAGUGGCGGACGGGUGAGUAACGCGUGGGAAUCUGCCCUCAGGAGGGGGAUAACGGCUGGAAACGGCCGCUAAUACCCCAUAUGCCGAGAGGUGAAAUGAAUUUCGCCUGAGGAUGAGCCCGCGUCUGAUUAGCUAGUUGGUGGGGUAAAGGCCUACCAAGGCAACGAUCAGUAGCUGGUCUGAGAGGAUGAUCAGCCACACUGGGACUGAGACACGGCCCAGACUCCUACGGGAGGCAGCAGUGGGGAAUUUUCCGCAAUGGGCGAAAGCCUGACGGAGCAACGCCGCGUGAGGGAUGAAGGCCUCUGGGCUGUAAACCUCUUUUCUCAAGGAAGAAGACCUGACGGUACUUGAGGAAUAAGCCACGGCUAAUUCCGUGCCAGCAGCCGCGGUAAUACGGGAGUGGCAAGCGUUAUCCGGAAUUAUUGGGCGUAAAGCGUCCGCAGGCGGCCUUGUAAGUCUGUUGUUAAAGCGUGGAGCUCAACUCCAUUUAAGCAAUGGAAACUACAAGGCUGGAGUGUGGUAGGGGCAGAGGGAAUUCCCGGUGUAGCGGUGAAAUGCGUAGAUAUCGGGAAGAACACCAGUGGCGAAGGCGCUCUGCUGGGCCAUAACUGACGCUCAUGGACGAAAGCCAGGGGAGCGAAAGGGAUUAAUACCCCUGUAGUCCUGGCCGUAAACGAUGAACACUAGGUGUCGGGGGAAUCGACCCCCUCGGUGUCGUAGCCAACGCGUUAAGUGUUCCGCCUGGGGAGUACGCACGCAAGUGUGAAACUCAAAGGAAUUGACGGGGGCCCGCACAAGCGGUGGAGUAUGUGGUUUAAUUCGAUGCAACGCGAAGAACCUUACCAGGGUUUGACAUCCUGCGAACCCCUGAGAAAUCGGGGGGUGCCUUCGGGAGCGCAGAGACAGGUGGUGCAUGGCUGUCGUCAGCUCGUGUCGUGAGAUGUUGGGUUAAGUCCCGCAACGAGCGCAACCCACGUCUUUAGUUGCCAGCAUUCAGUUGGGCACUCUAGAGAGACCGCCGGUGAUAAACCGGAGGAAGGUGUGGAUGACGUCAAGUCAUCAUGCCCCUUACAUCCUGGGCUACACACGUACUACAAUGCUACGGACAAAGGGCAGCAAGCUCGCGAGAGUUAGCAAAUCCCAUAAACCGUGGCUCAGUUCAGAUCGUAGGCUGCAACUCGCCUACGUGAAGGAGGAAUCGCUAGUAAUCGCAGGUCAGCAUACUGCGGUGAAUACGUUCCCGGGCCUUGUACACACCGCCCGUCACACCAUGGAAGUUGGCCAUGCCCGAAGUCGUUACUCCA